AACGAACGCUGGCGGCGCGCCUAAUACAUGCAAGUCGAGCGAGAAGACGUAGCAAUACGUUUGUAAAGCGGCGAACGGGUGAGGAAUACAUGGGUAACCUACCCUCGAGUGGGGAAUAACUAGCCGAAAGGUUAGCUAAUACCGCGUACGCUCCUUGGACUUCGGUUCAGGGAGGAAAGCGAUACCGUGGGUAUCGCGCUCUUGGAUGGGCUCAUGUUCUAUCAGCUUGUUGGUGAGGAACGGCUCACCAAGGCUUCGACGGGUAGCUGGUCUGAGAGGACAAUCAGCCACACUGGCACUGCGACACGGGCCAG
Molecule: ribosomal RNA, 314 nt
Filed under: uncultured bacterium
Lineage: Bacteria
Description: bacterial SSU rRNA
Rfam family: Bacterial small subunit ribosomal RNA
Source: RNAcentral